RNAcentral lists this ribosomal RNA (254 nucleotides) under uncultured bacterium. RNAcentral's name for it is "partial 16S ribosomal RNA". It matches the Rfam family "Bacterial small subunit ribosomal RNA", at positions 524 to 776 of the family's 1533-position model. The record is from RNAcentral.
UACGGGGGGAGCAAGCGUUGUUCGGAUUUACCGGGCGUAAAGGGCGCGUAGGCGGUCGUGACAAGUCAGUUGUGAAAUCUCCGAGCUUAACUCGGAAAGGUCAACUGAUACUGUGCGGCUAGAGUGCGGAAGGGGCAACUGGAAUUCUUGGUGUAGCGGUGAAAUGCGUAGAUAUCAAGAGGAACACCUGCGGCGAAGGCGGGUUGCUGGGCCGACACUGACGCUGAGGCGCGAAAGCCAGGGGAGCGAACGGG